This is a long non-coding RNA of Dendronephthya gigantea, 430 nucleotides long. RefSeq lists it as uncharacterized. The record is from RefSeq and is a predicted model, not a curated record. Lineage: Eukaryota; Metazoa; Cnidaria; Anthozoa; Malacalcyonacea; Nephtheidae. The transcript has 3 exons.
UUAAGCUUCUAGCUACGGCCCUGCCAAAGAUUCGACCUGACUCACCGGCAUCCAGCUGUUCAUCUGAAGACACAGUCACUACCAUGACACCUGCAGCAGCUUCAUCAAAACUAUCAGAUCACUUGGACUCAUUUCAAAUGAGUGAAGUGAUGCGAUCACCCAAUUUUAAAAAGAUGACCGUUAAUUUGAUGAUGGCUCUGUUUGAAAGAGAAAGGUCCUGGCGGAAUCCUCUGUAACCGACUAACCGGGAAAAGUAAAGAGGGGCGCCCCGCAUUGGACUACUGCAAGGUUGAACUGAUUAUAGAUUUUGUUACUAAAAGAUUCCCACAAGUUGGUGGAGUAGUCAUAAAGUCAACCAUGGCCCAAAAAUGCAAAGAUCUAAGGGUGUCGAUGGAAAACAAAAGGAAAAAACAUGAGGGAGCAUAGAUGC